RNAcentral lists this ribosomal RNA (301 nucleotides) under uncultured bacterium. Its description in RNAcentral is "partial 16S ribosomal RNA". It matches the Rfam family "Bacterial small subunit ribosomal RNA", at positions 509 to 807 of the family's 1533-position model. The record is from RNAcentral.
CAGUCGCCGCGGGAAUACGUAGGGUGCAAGCGUUAAUCGGAAUUACUGGGCGUAAAGCGCACGCAGGCGGUCUGUCAAGUCAGAUGUGAAAUCCCCGGGCUUAACCUGGGAACUGCAUUUGAAACUGGCAGGCUAGAGUCUUGUAGAGGGGGGUAGAAUUCCAGGUGUAGCGGUGAAAUGCGUAGAGAUCUGGAGGAAUACCGGUGGCGAAGGCGGCCCCCUGGACAAAGACUGACGCUCAGGUGCGAAAGCGUGGGGAGCAAACAGGAUUAGAUACCCCGGUAGUCCCUGUCUCUUAUAC